AAAAAUCCACGCGGUUGCGCGGGUCGAGAUCUAGUUGAAAAUUAAUUUAAGAAUAAGUUUAUAUUUGUACUUCAAUUUUCAUAAUAAAGAUUUCUUUGAAUAUUGGUUCCAUGUAAUAUUAUUUGCUACUCCUAAAAGUGGUUUCCAAAUCAGAAAAAUGAACAUAAAGUUAUUGAAGAAGUUUUAACCACUCAGAUCUUAUUUAUAUACAUAAAUGUAAAACAAGAUAGCAUACAGUCUAGUAUACAGUGCCAUGAAGUUAUUUCUUUGUUUAUGUUGCUAUAAAAAGAAAAAAAAAGUCUUUGAACAUUAAGCAUCAAUAAAAAAUAAACAAACAGGAUAGUAAAAAAAAGGUGAACCCUAGAGAAGUAAAGCAUUUUAAAUUCUCUUGUUAAAUAACUUCUAUCAAGAUAGAAAAGAGUGGUUAAGG
RNAcentral lists this long non-coding RNA (430 nucleotides) under Brassica rapa (field mustard). Its description in RNAcentral is "long non-coding RNA (BRAP_LNC000470)". The record is from RNAcentral. Lineage: Eukaryota; Viridiplantae; Streptophyta; Magnoliopsida; Brassicales; Brassicaceae.